RNAcentral lists this transfer RNA (74 nucleotides) under Alphaproteobacteria bacterium. RNAcentral's name for it is "tRNA-Cys". It matches the Rfam family "tRNA". Rfam says of the family: Transfer RNA (tRNA) molecules are approximately 80 nucleotides in length. The record is from RNAcentral. Lineage: Bacteria; Pseudomonadati; Pseudomonadota; Alphaproteobacteria.
GGCGCGGUGGGAGAGUGGCUAUCCAGCGGAUUGCAAAUCCGUUUACACCGGUUCGAAUCCGGUCCGCGCCUCCA